This 465-nucleotide ribosomal RNA is filed under the name uncultured bacterium. Its description in RNAcentral is "bacterial SSU rRNA". It matches the Rfam family "Bacterial small subunit ribosomal RNA", at positions 330 to 792 of the family's 1533-position model. The record is from RNAcentral.
UCCAGACUCCUACGGGAGGCAGCAGUGAGGAAUAUUGGUCAAUGGGCGGGAGCCUGAACCAGCCAAGUCGCGUGAGGGAAGACGGUCCUACGGAUUGUAAACCUCUUUUGCCGGGGAGCAACGGGGUCCUUGCGAGGGCCCAAUGAGAGUACCCGGAGAAAAAGCAUCGGCUAACUCCGUGCCAGCAGCCGCGGUAAUACGGAGGAUGCGAGCGUUAUCCGGAUUUAUUGGGUUUAAAGGGUGCGUAGGCGGGAUGCCAAGUCAGCGGUAAAAAUGCGGUGCUCAACGCCGUCGAGCCGUUGAAACUGGCGCGCUUGAGUUCAGGCGAGGUAGGCGGAAUUCGUGGUGUAGCGGUGAAAUGCAUAGAUAUCACGAAGAACUCCGAUUGCGAAGGCAGCUUACCAGUCUGCGACUGACGCUCAGGCACGAAAGUGUGGGUAUCGAACAGGAUUAGAUACCCCUGUA